Molecule: long non-coding RNA, 1052 nt
Filed under: Gossypium barbadense (sea-island cotton)
Lineage: Eukaryota; Viridiplantae; Streptophyta; Magnoliopsida; Malvales; Malvaceae
Description: long non-coding RNA (GBAR_LNC019471)
Source: RNAcentral
UAGAAGACAAAUAAGAGAUCUUUAUCAGAAAUACUAUGCGGGAUUCAAAACAAAAUUGUAUAGAGUUUUGUAAUUCAACUAUAAAUAGAUAAGAGAGGUCAAUUGUAUAGGCAUCUUUUGUUUAUGAAUUAUAACUUAGCUUUCUUUUUAGUUUUCCUUUAACUUUUGUAAUAUCCUUUUAGCCUUCCGCUCAUACUCUUUGUAACCCUGCUCAUCUUCUCCCCCAGAAUUGGUAUCAGAGGUGUUGGUGUAACGAUUUCUUGGAGAAAUAAUAUCAUAGUGUUCAUUGUAUGUAUAGUUAGAUUGAGGAAUGAAACCUGUGGACGUUAGUGUCUCAAGACUUAGACCCACGGUGAUGAAUAUUCAGUUGAAUAUCUUCUUGCAUAAGUCACUUUCUUGAUGGGAGACAAUGGUUUCAAAAGAGAUGCAACAAUAGUGGGGACAAUGGGUUAGAGCUUCCAUUUUCAUCAAUGGAGAGUGGAGCCAUGAUCGUCUUUAAUGUAAAGCUGUUAAAUUCUUUGUUAACUGCUUCGUUUUUUUUUCAAUGGGCAUGUAGGUUGUUGUAGACGGUUUAACAUUUUCACAUGACAGCAGCAGCAGCAGCAGCAGCUCUUCCCUUCAAUGUUUAUGGUAUAAAUGGAUGGCUACUACUAUAUAAAGUAUAAAUUGGUAUAUGUGUUUGCUUUUAAAUGGUUGGGAUCAUUAUGGAUUUUGGUUUGUUUUUCAAAUGUGUUUGUGUUACUUUGAUGAUAGCCGGGUUCUCUUCGAUUUUCUGUUUGGUUAAGGAAAAUGCGUUCCACAUUGUUAAAAUCCUAUAAAUUUUAAACAAUUCAUCAUGCAAAUGUACUAGCAAAUAAUCAUCAUACAUGCAAAUAUAAUAAUUUAAUUAAAGAUUAUGAUAUAAGAUUUAUUCAUAAUUUAUUAAGUAAUUAAAUAACUAAUGUGUAGAAUUUACUUAAUUAUAAAAUAUAUAAUUUUGAAGUAAAUAAUAAAAAUAGAUAAUUUUUUUAAAAUAUUAAAUUAAUCAGAUUUAUGAUAAUCAUGAUUCUCGC